This 273-nucleotide ribosomal RNA is filed under the name uncultured bacterium. Its description in RNAcentral is "partial 16S rRNA". It matches the Rfam family "Bacterial small subunit ribosomal RNA", at positions 1105 to 1382 of the family's 1533-position model. The record is from RNAcentral.
CUGCCCUUAGUUGCCACUCUUCGGAGGGCACUCUAAGGGGACCGCCGGCGAUAAGCGAGGAAGGUGGGGAUGACGUCAGGUCAGUAUGCCCUUUAUGCCCGGGGCUACACAGGCGCUACAGUGGCCAGGACAAUGGGAAGCGACCCAGUAAUGGGGAGCAAAUCCCUAAACCUGGUCAUGGUGCAGAUUGAGGGCUGAAACUCGCCCUCAUGAAGCCGGAAUCGGUAGUAAUGGCGGAUCAGCUAAUCCGCCGUGAAUACGUUCUCGGGCCUU